UACGAAGGGGGCUAGCGUUGCUCGGAAUCACUGGGCGUAAAGCGCACGUAGGCGGAUUGUUAAGUCAGGGGUGAAAUCCUGGAGCUCAACUCCAGAACUGCCUUUGAUACUGGCGAUCUUGAGUCCGGGAGAGGUGAGUGGAACUGCGAGUGUAGAGGUGAAAUUCGUAGAUAUUGGGAAGAACACCAGUGGCGAAGGCGGCUAACUGGUCCAGCACUGACGCUGAGGUGCGAAAGCGUGGGGAGCGAUCCGG
This 253-nucleotide ribosomal RNA is filed under the name uncultured bacterium. RNAcentral describes it as "partial 16S ribosomal RNA". It matches the Rfam family "Bacterial small subunit ribosomal RNA", at positions 524 to 776 of the family's 1533-position model. The record is from RNAcentral.